Molecule: ribosomal RNA, 40 nt
Filed under: Ophiostoma quercus
Lineage: Eukaryota; Fungi; Ascomycota; Sordariomycetes; Ophiostomatales; Ophiostomataceae
Also listed under: 1 other name
Description: partial 28S ribosomal RNA
Source: RNAcentral
UUGACCUCGGAUCAGGUAGGAUUACCCGCUGAACUUAAGC